RNAcentral lists this long non-coding RNA (441 nucleotides) under Nicotiana benthamiana. RNAcentral's name for it is "long non-coding RNA (NBEN_LNC021692)". Lineage: Eukaryota; Viridiplantae; Streptophyta; Magnoliopsida; Solanales; Solanaceae. The record is from RNAcentral.
GCUUAUGUAAGUGUGAAGUGUUAGCCGCUUCAAGGAGAAUUUUGUAAGGCCAGUUCUCUAUGCACUUAUGAAAUCAGGCUGUGUUCAUGGCUGAAACGAAUACAACAAUAAGAACCAAAGACGGUUAAUGGUUGGUUGUGUGACUUGUGGUUGUCUAGGUACACACCAAAGUUUGACGGUUCAAAGAUAUCAAAUCUACCGAUUGAUCGAGUAUAUCAUACAUAAGUUCACUACGGAAAGUUCAAAGGGAAACCUACUUAUGCAGAUGCAAUUAAUCCUUGUUUGCGAAUCACACCGUUUUUCAUGCAUACUUCCCCGAUAUAGCCAUUCCCCAUUCAUGUGGAGGAUUAUUGGGUUUAUGUAUUUAAUUAAUAAAUUAAAUACUUAAAAGAGGGUGAAUGGGAAAUUGAGGAAAAUGAAAUGUUUGAGUGAAAUUUCAAG